AGUGAACGCUGGCGGUAGGCCUAACACAUGCGAGUCGAACGGCAGCACAGUAAGAGCUUGCUCUUACGGGUGGCGAGUGGCGGACGGGUGAGGAAUACAUCGGAAUCUACUUUUUCGUGGGGGAUAACGUAGGGAAACUUACGCUAAUACCGCAUACGACCUACGGGUGAAAGCAGGGGAUCUUCGGACCUUGCGCGAUUGAAUGAGCCGAUGUCGGAUUAGCUAGUUGGCGGGGUAAGGGCCCACCAAGGCGACGAUCCGUAGCUGGUCUGAGAGGAUGAUCAGCCACACUGGAACUGAGACACGGUCCAGACUCGUACGGGAGGCAGCAGUGGGGAAUAUUGGACAAUGGGCGCAAGCCUGAUCCAGCCAUACCGCGUGGGUGAAGAAGGCCUUCGGGUGGUAAAGCCCUUUUGUUGGGAAAGAAAAGCAGCAGGUUAAUACCCCGCUGUUCGGACGGUACCCAAAGAAUAAGCACCGGCUAACUUCGU
This 491-nucleotide ribosomal RNA is filed under the name uncultured bacterium. RNAcentral's name for it is "partial 16S ribosomal RNA". It matches the Rfam family "Bacterial small subunit ribosomal RNA", at positions 29 to 506 of the family's 1533-position model. The record is from RNAcentral.